CCGGGCCUCCCUGUAAUUACCCACACAAUAGGCAUCCCUCUGCUUAAGAAGAACAGCUCUAUUUUCUCUAAAUAGGAAACCAGUUCCCUCACGGAUAUGAGCUACCCAACGCUUGCCACAAACUUUCCUAUUAACAGAUUCGUUUUGACAGUGCCUGUUCUGAUGAAGCUGGAUGCCAUGUUGUCAGCUGCCUUGUGGAGAGACCCAUGUGGGCAAGGAACUCUGGCCAACAGAUGAUCUGGGUGGUCUCUGGUCCACAGCCAGGGAAGGGCCGAGCACCUCUGACUAGAGGCUUAUGAGAAACUGAAUCCUGCCAGCAAGGAAGCAACAGCCCACAAUUGCCUGCAUUUUCUUUUCUCUUCAAAACCACUUCUGCUCCAAAGACCAUGAACCUGAACUGAAGAAACGACUCCUUCCUGCUGGCGUGAGAUAAUUCAGUCUCCAUGAUGUCUUAAUCCUGGGCCUCCCUUAAUUGACUUCUCACUGUGCUGAACUGUGGCUGCUAGGAGUUGCAAUGUGGAUCGCAAUUUACAAGGCACUGGAAUCGUUUCUCGUCUUCAAAUUAGUCCUGAGCUGUACUGGAGAAAGAAAAAAAGGGGCCUUUACCCUUCUUGCUGUCUUGCCACCACAAGUGAGACUUUCUUACCAUCUCAGAAUGGAUGGUUGCCUUUUAACAAUUUAGUUAGGGACAGAAAGGAAAAAGAGUUAGGGCUGCCAAUACUUCAUCAAUUUUGUCUUAAUAAAGUUGCCUCAUAUGGCCUAUCUUGUUCGGGGG
Long non-coding RNA from Pongo pygmaeus (Bornean orangutan), 775 nucleotides. RefSeq lists it as uncharacterized. Lineage: Eukaryota; Metazoa; Chordata; Mammalia; Primates; Hominidae. The transcript is spliced from 3 exons. The record is from RefSeq and is a predicted model, not a curated record.